UACGUAGGGGGCAAGCGUUGUCCGGAUUUAUUGGGCGUAAAGAGCGUGUAGGCGGCUUCACAGGUCUGCUGUGAAAACUCGAGGCUCAACCUCGAGCUGUCGGUGGAAACCGUGGGGCUAGAGUCCGGAAGAGGAGAGUGGAAUUCCCGGUGUAGCGGUGAAAUGCGCAGAUAUCGGGAAGAACACCCGUGGCGAAGGCGGCUCUCUGGGACGGUACUGACGCUGAGGAGCGAAAGCGUGGGGAGCAAACAGG
This 253-nucleotide ribosomal RNA is filed under the name uncultured bacterium. RNAcentral describes it as "partial 16S ribosomal RNA". It matches the Rfam family "Bacterial small subunit ribosomal RNA", at positions 524 to 776 of the family's 1533-position model. The record is from RNAcentral.